GACGUAGGGCGCGAGCGUUAUCCGGAUUUACUGGGCGUAAAGCGCACGUAGGUGGCUUUGUAAGUUAGAGGUGAAAGCCCGGGGCUCAACUCCGGAAUUGCCUUUAAGACUGCAUCGCUAGAACGUCGGAGAGGUAAGUGGAAUUCCGAGUGUAGAGGUGAAAUUCGUAGAUAUUCGGAAGAACACCAGUGGCGAAGGCGACUUACUGGACGACUGUUGACACUGAGGUGCGAAAGCGUGGGGAGCAAACAGG
This 253-nucleotide ribosomal RNA is filed under the name uncultured bacterium. Its description in RNAcentral is "partial 16S ribosomal RNA". It matches the Rfam family "Bacterial small subunit ribosomal RNA", at positions 524 to 776 of the family's 1533-position model. The record is from RNAcentral.